Molecule: ribosomal RNA, 768 nt
Filed under: uncultured Hyphomicrobiales bacterium
Lineage: Bacteria; Pseudomonadati; Pseudomonadota; Alphaproteobacteria; Hyphomicrobiales
Description: bacterial SSU rRNA
Rfam family: Bacterial small subunit ribosomal RNA
Source: RNAcentral
GUCGAGCGCACAGGUUUACCUGUGAGCGGCAGACGGGUGAGUAACGCGUGGGAAUCUACCUUAAGCUGCGGAAUAACAGAGAGAAAUUUCUGCUAAUGCCGCAUGUGCCCGGAAGGGGAAAGAUUUAUCGGCUUAAGAUGAGCCCGCGUUGGAUUAGCUGGUUGGUGGGGUAAAGGCCUACCAAGGCGACGAUCCAUAGCUGGUCUGAGAGGAUGAUCAGCCACACUGUGACUGAGACACGGCCCAGACUCCUACGGGAAGCAGCAGUGGGGAAUAUUGGACAAUGGGCGCAAGCCUGAUCCAGCCAUGCCGCGUGAGUGAUGAAGGCCUUAGGGUUGUAAAGCUCUUUCACCGGGGAAGAUAAUGACGGUACCCGGAGAAGAAGCCCCGGCUAACUUCGUGCCAGCAGCCGCGGUAAUACGAAGGGGGCUAGCGUUGUUCGGAAUUACUGGGCGUAAAGAGCGCGUAGGCGGAAAAGUAAGUCAGGGGUGAAAUCCCGGGGCUCAACCCCGGAAUUGCCUUUGAUACUGUUUUUCUUGAGUGCAGAAGAGGUAAGUGGAAUUCCGAGUGUAGAGGUGAAAUUCGUAGAUAUUCGGAAGAACACCGGUGGCGAAGGCGGCUUACUGGUCUGCAACUGACGCUGAGGCGCGAAAGCGUGGGGAGCAAACAGGAUUAGAUACCCUGGUAGUCCACGCUGUAAACGAUGGAAGCCAGCUAUUGGGCAGUUUACUGCUCGGCAGCGCAGCUAACGCAUUAAGCUUCCCGCCU